Molecule: unclassified non-coding RNA, 31 nt
Filed under: Bodo saltans
Lineage: Eukaryota; Euglenozoa; Kinetoplastea; Eubodonida; Bodonidae
Description: partial miscellaneous RNA
Source: RNAcentral
ACCUAUAACACAACAUCCAAGAUGAUAGAAC